Molecule: non-coding RNA, 31 nt
Filed under: Rattus norvegicus (Norway rat)
Lineage: Eukaryota; Metazoa; Chordata; Mammalia; Rodentia; Muridae
Source: RNAcentral
UAUAAUGAUAAACUUAUUAGAGGCUAAGAAA